AGGGAAUCUUCGGCAAUGGACGAAAGUCUGACCGAGCAACGCCGCGUGAGUGAAGAAGGUUUUCGGAUCGUAAAACUCUGUUGUUAGAGAAGAACAAGGAUGAGAGUAAAACGUUCAUCCCUUGACGGUAUCUAACCAGAAAGCCACGGCUAACUACGUGCCAGCAGCCGCGGUAAUACGUAGGUGGCAAGCGUUGUCCGGAUUUAUUGGGCGUAAAGCGAGCGCAGGCGGUUUCUUAAGUCUGAUGUGAAAGCCCCCGGCUCAACCGGGGAGGGUCACUGGAAACUGGGAGACUUGAGUGCAGAAGAGGAGAGUGGAAUUCCAUGUGUAGCGGUGAAAUGCGUAGAUAUAUGGAGGAACACCAGUGGCGAAGGCGGCUCUCUGGGCCGAGACCGACGCUGAGGCGCGAAAGCUGGGGGAGCGAAC
RNAcentral lists this ribosomal RNA (426 nucleotides) under uncultured bacterium. RNAcentral describes it as "bacterial SSU rRNA". It matches the Rfam family "Bacterial small subunit ribosomal RNA", at positions 356 to 773 of the family's 1533-position model. The record is from RNAcentral.